This 291-nucleotide ribosomal RNA is filed under the name uncultured bacterium. Its description in RNAcentral is "partial 16S ribosomal RNA". It matches the Rfam family "Bacterial small subunit ribosomal RNA", at positions 506 to 796 of the family's 1533-position model. The record is from RNAcentral.
UGCCAGCCGCCGCGGUAAUACGGAGGGCGCAAGCGUUAUUCGGAAUUACUGGGCGUAAAGCGCGCGUAGGCGGCUAGGUAAGUCAGGUGUGAAAGUCCUCGGCUCAACCGGGGGAUGGCACUUGAAACUGCGUAGCUAGAGUUCAGGAGAGGGUGGCGGAAUUCCCGGUGUAGGAGUGAAAUCCGUAGAUAUCGGGAGGAACACCAGAGGCGAAGGCGGCCACCUGGCCGGAAACUGACGCUGAGGCGCGAAAGCGUGGGUAGCAAACAGGAUUAGAUACCCUUGUAGUCC